GCCGGGUGUGGUGGUGCACACCUGUAAUCCCAGCUACUUGGGAGGCUGAGGCAGGAGAAUCGCUUGAACUCAGGAGGUGGAGGUUGCAGUGAGCUGAGAUCAUGCCCACUGCACUCUAGCCUGGGUGACUGAGUGAAACUCUGUCUCAG
Molecule: non-coding RNA, 149 nt
Filed under: Homo sapiens (human)
Lineage: Eukaryota; Metazoa; Chordata; Mammalia; Primates; Hominidae
Source: Rfam by way of RNAcentral